This is a long non-coding RNA of Antechinus flavipes (yellow-footed antechinus), 606 nucleotides long. RefSeq lists it as uncharacterized. Lineage: Eukaryota; Metazoa; Chordata; Mammalia; Dasyuromorphia; Dasyuridae. The transcript has 3 exons. The record is from RefSeq and is a predicted model, not a curated record.
UCCCCUCUCUGACAUCUCUCCUCUCCCUCUUCCUCUCUCCUCCUUUUGUUAAGAAUUCAGAAGAUAAUUAUGCCUCACCUUGACUCCAGACCAGCUGCACAGAAUCAAGGACAGAAGCACUGCAAUAAUUCUGGGAAUAAUGCCACAAGUUUUGCACACUCUUCCACAACAUUCACAAUCAAAUUCAGCUACCAAGGACUGUAAUACACUCAUCUCAAAUCUAUUUAAUAAAUAUUUCUCUGCCCUUUUCAAUUGAUUAUAUUGUGUUUAUAUUUUCAUGUUGAAUCUUUUAUUAUCCAAUUCAUUUUCGGUUAGGUACUUUAUAAUACCUUGCUCUGCUUUUUUUUAUAAAACAGUUCUGUUUCCAUAGCCACAAUCAUAUUUUAUAUUGUUAUGAGCCAUUUCAAAGCCUUAAUUCUUCAAACCUUUAUUACUGAUUGUAUCAACUAAUGUGUUCUAAUAUCCAUGGUAAAAAUAUUCAUGUGAUUUUAAGAUUUAAAUGACAAUUUUAGUUUUUAUUUCACAGCAAAUCAAGACCCCCCCUUUGUCAUUAUCACUUGCCUUUGUACACAUUGGAAAAAAUAAAAUAAUGCUUCAUAUUUGGAA